GGAAGGAUCAUUAAAGAGAGCUUCGGCUCCUUUUAUGUUUUCAACCACAUUGCUGUUUCUAUCCUUGUUGCUUCCGCCCUUUGCAGGCGGGCUACAAGCCUGCUAGGAGGGGGUGGAGGGUUUGUUUUAAAAAUCUGUUUGUUCAGUUAGCUGUAACUUGUCUGAAUAAGAGGGAGUAACGCUUUAAAACUUUCAACAACGGAUCUCUUGGCUCCUGCAUCGAUGAAGAACGCAGCGAAAUGCGAUAAUUAAUGUGAAUUGCAGAAUUCCGUGAAUCAUCGAGUCUUUGAACGCACAUUGCGCCCUAUGGUAUUCCGUAGGGCAUGCCCGUCUCAGCGUCAGCGAAAUUUUAUCAAGCUGUAGCAUUUUCUUUGCUCACGGCUUGGACAGUGUCAGGGAAGCUGCGGUUCACCCUGCUGCAGCUCCUUGGAAAUCUAUGGAUGCUUCAUACCUUUGUGCGUGUGGAACGUGAUAGAAAUAUUUUUCGUUCCCUUUACAGGCGCAUUGGUUUGAGAUAUCUGAAAAACCCCACAUGCUACUUUUGGC
This 546-nucleotide ribosomal RNA is filed under the name uncultured fungus. RNAcentral describes it as "eukaryotic LSU rRNA". The stretch from base 188 to 341 matches the Rfam family "5.8S ribosomal RNA". Lineage: Eukaryota; Fungi. The record is from RNAcentral.